RNAcentral lists this ribosomal RNA (253 nucleotides) under uncultured bacterium. RNAcentral describes it as "partial 16S ribosomal RNA". It matches the Rfam family "Bacterial small subunit ribosomal RNA", at positions 524 to 776 of the family's 1533-position model. The record is from RNAcentral.
UACGUAGGGUGCAAGCGUUAACCGGAAUUACUGGGCGUAAAGCGUGCGCAGGCGGUUUUGUAAGACUGUCGUGAAAGCCCCGGGCUUAACCCGGGAAUGGCAUUGAAUACUGAUGGUCUGGAGGAUUGGAGGGGGGACUGGAAUUCUUGGUGUAGCAGUGAAAUGCGUAGAUAUCAAGAGGAACACCAGUGGCGAAGGCGAGUCCCUGGACAAUUCCUGACACUGAGGCACGAAAGCCAAGGGAGCAAACAGG